This 144-nucleotide non-coding RNA is filed under the name Cutibacterium acnes. The record is from RNAcentral. Lineage: Bacteria; Bacillati; Actinomycetota; Actinomycetes; Propionibacteriales; Propionibacteriaceae.
UAGGUGUGUGUGAUGUCUCGUCUCAGCUAUGCUCGAUAUGCGAUCGAGCGAUGAGCAAUCCGGUGAGAUUCCGGAGCGGUCCCGCCACUGUGAGACACCCCCAUGCGGUGCAGCCAGACGCUCUGCCCGAUUCCUGCCGAACAG